This 334-nucleotide ribosomal RNA is filed under the name uncultured bacterium. RNAcentral's name for it is "bacterial SSU rRNA". It matches the Rfam family "Bacterial small subunit ribosomal RNA", at positions 28 to 361 of the family's 1533-position model. The record is from RNAcentral.
GACGAACGCUGGCGGCGUGCUUAACACAUGCAAGUCGAGCGGUAAGGCCCUUUCGGGGGUACGACGAGCGGCGAACGGGUGAGUAACACGUGGGUGACCUGCCCUCCAGCUCUGGGAUAAGCCUGGGAAACCGGGUCUAAUACCGGAUAUGACUCCAUGACGCAUGUUGUGGGGUGGAAAGCCUUGUGCGGCUGAGGAUGGGCCCGCGGCCUAUCAGCUUGUUGGUGGGGUGAUGGCCUACCAAGGCGACGACGGGUAGCCGGCCUGAGAGGGCGACCGGCCACACUGGGACUGAGACACGGCCCAGACUCCUACGGGAGGCAGCAGUGGGGAA